RNAcentral lists this ribosomal RNA (440 nucleotides) under uncultured bacterium. RNAcentral describes it as "partial 16S ribosomal RNA". It matches the Rfam family "Bacterial small subunit ribosomal RNA", at positions 338 to 795 of the family's 1533-position model. The record is from RNAcentral.
CCUACGGGCGGCAGCAGUGGGGAAUAUUGCACAAUGGGGGAACCCCUGAUGCAGCGACGCCGCGUGAGUGAAGACGUAAUUCUUUAUGUAAAGCUCUAUCAGCAGGGAAGAAACUGACGGUACCUGUGUCAGAAGCCCCGGCUAACUACGUGCCAGCAUCCGCGGUAAUACGUAGGGGGCAAGCGUUAUCCGGAUUUACUGGGUGUAAAGGGAGCGUUGACGGCAGUGCAAGUCUGGAGUGAAAGGCGGGGGCUCAACCCCCGGACUGCUCUGGAAACUGUACGGCUGGAGUGCAGGAGAGGUAAGUGGAAUUCCUGGUGUAGCGGUGAAAUGCGUAGAUAUUAGGAAGAACACCAGUGGCGAAGGCGGCUUACUGGACUGUAACUGACGUUGAGGCUCGAAAGCGUGGGGAGCAAACAGGAUUAGAUACCCCUGUAGUC